RNAcentral lists this ribosomal RNA (676 nucleotides) under uncultured bacterium. RNAcentral's name for it is "bacterial SSU rRNA". It matches the Rfam family "Bacterial small subunit ribosomal RNA", at positions 62 to 783 of the family's 1533-position model. The record is from RNAcentral.
UCGAGCGCGCCCCUUCGGGGUGAGCGGCGGACGGGUGAGUAACGCGUGGGAAUAUGCCCUUCUCUAAGGAAUAGCCUCUGGAAACGGAGAGUAAUACCUUAUACGCCCUUUGGGGGAAAGAUUUAUCGGAGAAGGAUUAGCCCGCGUUAGAUUAGGUAGUUGGUGGGGUAAUGGCCUACCAAGCCUACGAUCUAUAGCUGGUUUGAGAGGAUGAUCAGCCACACUGGGACUGAGACACGGCCCAGACUCCUACGGGAGGCAGCAGUAGGGAAUCUUAGACAAUGGGGGCAACCCUGAUCUAGCCAUGCCGCGUGUGUGAUGAAGGCCCUAGGGUCGUAAAGCACUUUCGCCAGAGAUGAUAAUGACAGUAUCUGGUAAAGAAACCCCGGCUAACUCCGUGCCAGCAGCCGCGGUAAUACGGAGGGGGUUAGCGUUGUUCGGAAUUACUGGGCGUAAAGCGCACGUAGGCGGAUUAGUAAGUUAGAGGUGAAAUCCCAGGGCUCAACCCUGGAACUGCCUUUAAUACUGCUAGUCUUGAGUUCGAGAGAGGUAAGUGGAAUUCCGAGUGUAGAGGUGAAAUUCGUAGAUAUUCGGAGGAACACCAGUGGCGAAGGCGGCUUACUGGCUCGAUACUGACGCUGAGGUGCGAAAGUGUGGGGAGCAAACAGGAUUAGAU